AUGUGCCGCUGCAGGUUGGGAGGUGGAAAUUCCUGCUGGAAUCCUUCGGCAGCUCCGGGAGCGGGCCCGGCUGGAGGGACCGGCCGGGGUCACCCGGGGAGGAACCGGGACCGGCCGGGGUCACCCGGGGCAGAACCGGGACCGGCCGGGGUCACCCGGGGAGGAGGAACCGGGACCGGUCGGGGUGUCCGGGACGGGACCGGCGGCACCCACGGACCGGCCGUGCCGCGGGAGAGCUCGGCGUGGGGCCGCAGUGGGGUCUGGCUCCUGAAAAACGGGAUCGGCCGGUGGAAAAGGGGGAUUUACCGGUGGAAAUGGAGGAUCUGGCAGUGGAAAAGGGGGUUCUGCCUGUGGAAAAAGGGGAUUUGCCACUGGAAAAGGGAUUUUCCACGUGAAAAAAGGGGUUCUGCCGGUGGAAAAAGGGGAUCUGGCAGUGGAAAAGGGGAUUUGCCGUUGGAAAAGGGGGAUUUGCCGUUGGAAAAGGGGGAUUUGCCGUUGGAAAAGGGGGAUUUCCUGGUGGAAAAGGGGAGGGUUUGCCGUUGGAAAAGGGGGAUUUGCCGUUGGAAAAUGGGGAUUUCCUGGUGGAAAAGGGGGAUUUGCCGGUGGAAAAGGGGGAUUUGCCAGCAGGGAUCCGGCCGUGCUGGGGCCGUGUGUGCCUCUCUGGCCCCGCUCUGGGCACUGGCGAGCAGCGAGGGCGGACAGGGAGAGGGGAGAGAAGCGGUGGGAGCGGAGCUGCUGCAGAGCCCCUUCCCCGUGUCCCACCGGUGUCCCCGUGUCCCACGGUGUCCCCGAGUGCCACCCGGCGAGGCCCGUGCCCGCAGCUGGCCCCGGGGCUGGGCCGUGAGUCAGCGGCGGAGCAGCGCCGCGCUGCCCCAGGGCCGGGCCGGGCGCCCUGGCAGGGGACGGGUGACACCGAUGUCACCGAUGUCACCCCGGGCCAGCACAGGGGACGCCGAGGGGGCUUUUGCCCCGGUGCUGCCGAGUUCCUUCAGCUCCUGGAGGGGUCGGAGCUGGAUCCCUGCGAGGGCUGGGCCGGCCCCAAAGCCACCCUGGUGCCACGACCCUGAGAGCUGGGGACAGUCCCCAGCCCCGGGUGAUGGAGGGAGCCCGGGCAGUGGCACCGCGGUGACAAGGAUGGCCUGUGAGCACACAGAGCCGCGCUGA
This 1164-nucleotide long non-coding RNA is filed under the name Taeniopygia guttata (zebra finch). Its description in RNAcentral is "lncRNA (ENSTGUG00000019308.1)". The record is from RNAcentral. Lineage: Eukaryota; Metazoa; Chordata; Aves; Passeriformes; Estrildidae.